AUCUACCUACGAAACAUUUUAAGUUUUUGCUAUACGAUGUGUAGACCCUUAUUAAGAGAAUAUAGAGAUGUGAUGUAUAUGGACUCUUACAUGUAUACCAUACAAGUAAAAAACAACUGAGAUAGAAAAAUAGUUUUCUAAAAAAGUUUUCAUUAUUAGAAACUUCGAAAGAGAGGGUAGCUUAAAGAGAGUAAGAACGAAUAUGAUG
This 208-nucleotide unclassified non-coding RNA is filed under the name Hevea brasiliensis (rubber tree). The record is from RNAcentral. Lineage: Eukaryota; Viridiplantae; Streptophyta; Magnoliopsida; Malpighiales; Euphorbiaceae.